AGAGUUUGAUCAUGGCUCAGAAUGAACGCUGGCGGCGUGCCUUACACAUGCAAGUCGUGCGGAGUCACGGCAGAGGGGCAACCCGAUGCAGUGGCUCAGCGGCAAACGGGUGAGUAAUGGACAGGUAACGUACCCCCAAGACGUGGAUAGCUCAUCGAAAGAUGAGAUAAUACGCGAUAAUGUUCCCUUGCGCAGGCAGGGGAAAGAAAGCGGGCGCAAGCUCGCGCUUCCGGAUCGGCCUGUCUCCUAUCAGCUAGUUGGUGGGGUAAGAGCCUACCAAGGCGAUGACGGGUAGCUGGUCUUAGAGGAUGGUCAGCCACAUUGGAACUGCGACACGGUCCAGACUCCUACGGGAGGCAGCAGUGGGGAAUCAUGGUCAAUGGGCGAAAGCCUGAACCUGCGACGCCGCGUGAGUGAUGAAGGUCGUAAGAUCGUAAAACUCUUUUCAGGGAUCUUAAAGCACAGCUGUCAACAACAGCUGUGUGUGACUCUCCCUGGAAGAAGCCCCAGCCAACUACGUGCCAGCAGCUGCGGUAAUACGUAGGGGGCGAGCGUUAU
RNAcentral lists this ribosomal RNA (558 nucleotides) under uncultured Caldisericum sp. Its description in RNAcentral is "bacterial SSU rRNA". It matches the Rfam family "Bacterial small subunit ribosomal RNA", at positions 8 to 544 of the family's 1533-position model. The record is from RNAcentral. Lineage: Bacteria; Pseudomonadati; Caldisericota; Caldisericia; Caldisericales; Caldisericaceae.